ACAAGACAGGUUCCUAUAUAUAAGUAUGAACACGUACAAUACCGAUAUUUAGAAGCAAAGAUCGAUUUCCCUGCUUAUAAAGACACUUUUAUAUAUUGACAGAAACGAUCGAACACCAUCUCUCUCCCUGAGCCAAACAACCAAAAAAGCAGCAUAUAUGAGAGAGAAUUUGAUACUGCGCGAGGAAGAAGAAGAUGGAUCCAAGAGGAUAUAGCGCUCGAUGAAGCUAUAUAUAUAUAUAUAUAGCUACUAUUAUAUAUAUUUAUAUAUAUAUAUAUAAAUGAUGGAUAUAGUGGUGAAUUUAAAAAAAAAAAAAAAGAAGAAAAAAAAAGGUAUUGGCGCGUCUCAAUCUAAAUACACGGCUAAGAGAGCAAUAUAUAUAAAAUUAGCCAAGUAAUUUGAUUGAGCCGCGUCAAUAUCUCCUUUAAUUACACUUUUCCAUCUCUCCAAACCUACCUGCCCUAGCUCCGGCCAACAUCCAUUUCUCCGGGUUAAGGAGUGGAGUGGAGGUAGCGGUUGGGUUUACAAUACAGGAGAGUACUGAUUGUUGACAAGUGAAAGGCAUAUUUAAAAUAUUUGAAUGAUGUGAUUAAAAUCCCCACUAUUUUUCUGCCAUUUUUGUCUUCACUCAAACAAAAUCACAAUCAAGAGACCCACUAAGAGGAUACGUUUGGAUUUGGCAAAAA
Humulus lupulus (European hop) is the source of this 686-nucleotide long non-coding RNA. RefSeq lists it as uncharacterized. NCBI's taxonomy places the organism in Eukaryota, Viridiplantae, Streptophyta, Magnoliopsida, Rosales, Cannabaceae. The record is from RefSeq and is a predicted model, not a curated record. The transcript has 2 exons.